CCUUUGAAAAAUAACGGAAACCACACGACUGUUAAUCGAGUGGCCGUAGGUUCGAAUCCUACUCAGGGAGCCA
RNAcentral lists this transfer RNA (73 nucleotides) under Sphingomonas aerolata. Its description in RNAcentral is "tRNA-OTHER". It matches the Rfam family "tRNA". Rfam says of the family: Transfer RNA (tRNA) molecules are approximately 80 nucleotides in length. Their secondary structure includes four short double-helical elements and three loops (D, anti-codon, and T loops). The record is from RNAcentral. Lineage: Bacteria; Pseudomonadati; Pseudomonadota; Alphaproteobacteria; Sphingomonadales; Sphingomonadaceae.